CUGCAGUCAAUUAAGCCAACUCAGCACCUCCCUGCUGGGGGCUCAGUGUGCAGUGACUUCAAAAAGCAGAUUCCUUGGUCUCAAGGAAUGGAUGCAGCUCAUUCCUUUUAUGUGUAGGUCUAAGGGAUCUUGGAGAUCUCA
Small nucleolar RNA from Phyllostomus discolor (pale spear-nosed bat), 141 nucleotides. RefSeq annotates it as small nucleolar RNA SNORA70. The record is from RefSeq and is a predicted model, not a curated record. Lineage: Eukaryota; Metazoa; Chordata; Mammalia; Chiroptera; Phyllostomidae. The transcript has a single exon.